Molecule: ribosomal RNA, 335 nt
Filed under: uncultured Bacillota bacterium
Lineage: Bacteria; Bacillati; Bacillota
Description: bacterial SSU rRNA
Rfam family: Bacterial small subunit ribosomal RNA
Source: RNAcentral
GAUGAACGCUGGCGGCGUGCCUAAUACAUGCAAGUCGAGCGAAUGGAUUAAGAGCUUGCUCUUAUGAAGUUAGCGGCGGACGGGUGAGUAACACGUGGGUAACCUACCCAUAAGACUGGGAUAACUCCGGGAAACCGGGGCUAAUACCGGAUAAUAUUUUGAACUGCAUAGUUCGAAAUUGAAAGGCGGCUUCGGCUGUCACUUAUGGAUGGACCCGCGUCGCAUUAGCUAGUUGGUGAGGUAACGGCUCACCAAGGCGACGAUGCGUAGCCGACCUGAGAGGGUGAUCGGCCACACUGGGACUGAGACACGGCCCAGACUCCUACGGGAGGCAG